ACGCUCGACACCUACGGGAGGCAGCAGUAGGGAAUCUUCCACAAUGGACGCAAGUCUGAUGGAGCAACGCCGCGUGAGUGAAGAAGGUUUUCGGAUCGUAAAGCUCUGUUGUUGGUGAAGAAGGAUAGAGGUAGUAACUGGCCUUUAUUUGACGGUAAUCAACCAGAAAGUCACGGCUAACUACGUGCCAGCAGCCGCGGUAAUCUGAGCGGGCUGGCAAGGC
Molecule: ribosomal RNA, 223 nt
Filed under: uncultured bacterium
Lineage: Bacteria
Description: partial 16S ribosomal RNA
Rfam family: Bacterial small subunit ribosomal RNA
Source: RNAcentral